This 503-nucleotide ribosomal RNA is filed under the name uncultured bacterium. RNAcentral's name for it is "partial 16S ribosomal RNA". It matches the Rfam family "Bacterial small subunit ribosomal RNA", at positions 30 to 523 of the family's 1533-position model. The record is from RNAcentral.
AUUGAACGCUGGCGGCAGGCUUAACACAUGCAAGUCGAGCGGGGUGAUGGUGCUUGCACUAUCACUUAGCGGCGGACGGGUGAGUAAUGCUUAGGAAUCUGCCUAUUAGUGGGGGACAACAUCUCGAAAGGGAUGCUAAUACCGCAUACGUCCUCCGGGAGAAAGCAGGGGAUCACUUGUGACCUUGCGCUAAUAGAUGAGCCUAAGUCGGAUUAGCUAGUUGGUGGGGUAAAGGCCUACCAAGGCGACGAUCUGUAGCGGGUCUGAGAGGAUGAUCCGCCACACUGGGACUGAGACACGGCCCAGACGCCUACGGGAGGUAGCAGUGGGGAAUGUUGGACAAUGGGGGGAACCCUGAUCCAGCCAUGCCGCGUGUGUGAAGAAGGCCUUAUGGUUGUAAAGCACUUUAAGCGAGGAGGAGGCUCUUUUGGUUAAUACCCAAGAUGAGUGGACGUUACUCGCAGAAUAAGCACCGGCUAACUCUGUGCCAGCAGCCGCAGUAA